Molecule: transfer RNA, 72 nt
Filed under: Pangasius djambal
Lineage: Eukaryota; Metazoa; Chordata; Actinopteri; Siluriformes; Pangasiidae
Description: tRNA-Glu
Rfam family: tRNA
About the family: Transfer RNA (tRNA) molecules are approximately 80 nucleotides in length. Their secondary structure includes four short double-helical elements and three loops (D, anti-codon, and T loops).
Source: RNAcentral
UCCCUGGUGGACUAGUGGUUAGGCCACAGCACUCUCACUGCUGUGGCCCGGGUUUGAUUCCCGGCCAGGGAA